UUUUCGGAGAGUUUGAUCCUGGCUCAGGACGAACGCUGGCGGCGUGCCUAAUACAUGCAAGUCGAGCGAACAGAAGGGAGCUUGCUCCCGGAUGUUAGCGGCGGACGGGUGAGUAACACGUGGGUAACCUGCCUGUAAGACUGGGAUAACUCCGGGAAACCGGAGCUAAUACCGGAUAGUUCCUUGAACCGCAUGGUUCAAGGAUGAAAGACGGUUUCGGCUGUCACUUACAGAUGGACCCGCGGCGCAUUAGCUAGUUGGUGGGGUAAUGGCUCACCAAGGCGACGAUGCGUAGCCGACCUGAGAGGGUGAUCGGCCACACUGGGACUGAGACACGGCCCAGACUCCUACGG
This 353-nucleotide ribosomal RNA is filed under the name Bacillus pumilus. RNAcentral's name for it is "bacterial SSU rRNA". It matches the Rfam family "Bacterial small subunit ribosomal RNA", at positions 1 to 344 of the family's 1533-position model. The record is from RNAcentral. Lineage: Bacteria; Bacillati; Bacillota; Bacilli; Caryophanales; Bacillaceae.